Molecule: ribosomal RNA, 873 nt
Filed under: fungal endophyte
Lineage: Eukaryota; Fungi
Description: eukaryotic LSU rRNA
Rfam family: 5.8S ribosomal RNA (bases 157-310)
Source: RNAcentral
GGGGAUUACGAUCAAAAAAGUUCAUCUUGUUCUGAUCCUGUGCACCUUAUGUAGUCCCAAAGCCUUCACGGGCGGCGGUUGACUACGUCUACCUCACACCUUAAAGUAUGUUAACGAAUGUAAUCAUGGUCUUGACAGACCCUAAAAAGUUAAUACAACUUUCGACAACGGAUCUCUUGGCUCUCGCAUCGAUGAAGAACGCAGCGAAAUGCGAUAAGUAAUGUGAAUUGCAGAAUUCAGUGAAUCAUCGAAUCUUUGAACGCACCUUGCGCCCUUUGGUAUUCCGAGGGGCAUGCCUGUUUGAGUGUCAUUAAAUACCAUCAACCCUCUUUUGACUUCGGUCUCGAGAGUGGCUUGGAAGUGGAGGUCUGCUGGAGCCUAACGGAGCCAGCUCCUCUUAAAUGUAUUAGCGGAUUUCCCUUGCGGGAUCGCGUCUCCGAUGUGAUAAUUUCUACGUCGUUGACCAUCUCGGGGCUGACCUAGUCAGUUUCAAUAGGAGUCUGCUUCUAACCGUCUCUUGACUGAGACUAGCGACUUGUGCGCUAACUUUUGACUUGACCUCAAAUCAGGUAGGACUACCCGCUGAACUUAAGCAUAUCAAUAGCGGAGGAGGAUCAUUAACGAAUCAAACAAGUUCAUCUUGUUCUGAUCUGUGCACUUAUGUAGUCCAAAGCUUCCGGGGCGGCGGUUGACUAGUCUACUCACACUUAAAGUAUGUUUAACGAAAUGUAAUCAUGGGUCUUGACAGACCUAAAAAGUUAUACACUUUCCACGAUCUCUGCUCGCAUGUAAGAACAGCAAAUGCAUAGAUAUGUGAAUUGCGAAUCAUGAAAUCAUCAUCUUGAACCUUCUCUGCCUCUUCAGGGGAUGACG